UUAACCUAACUUUAACUUAUGUAAUGUCAAAUGGCUCUCUAUCAUAUAUUCUUUUCAUCAAUCAUCAUAUCACUCGUGCUGAUUACAACAUAAAACUUUUUAUAUCAUCUUCCUAUAUUUGUCUAUUUCUCUUCUCCUUCUUCAUUUCAUAAACAUUAUCUCUCUUCUUCAACAGCCACCACAUUGCAACCAUUUGCCACUUGCCAAAGUUGUCAAGUUAAGGUUGUAAAUAAAA
This 235-nucleotide long non-coding RNA is filed under the name Carica papaya (papaya). RNAcentral describes it as "long non-coding RNA (CPAP_LNC007433)". The record is from RNAcentral. Lineage: Eukaryota; Viridiplantae; Streptophyta; Magnoliopsida; Brassicales; Caricaceae.